GGGGUUGUGGCUCAUUGGUAGAGCACUUGCCUAGCAUGUGUGAGGCACUGGGUUCAAAUCUCAGCACCA
RNAcentral lists this transfer RNA (69 nucleotides) under Urocitellus parryii (Arctic ground squirrel). Its description in RNAcentral is "Spermophilus parryii (Arctic ground squirrel) tRNA". It matches the Rfam family "tRNA". Rfam says of the family: Transfer RNA (tRNA) molecules are approximately 80 nucleotides in length. Their secondary structure includes four short double-helical elements and three loops (D, anti-codon, and T loops). RNAcentral also lists the same sequence under 1 other name. Lineage: Eukaryota; Metazoa; Chordata; Mammalia; Rodentia; Sciuridae. The record is from Rfam by way of RNAcentral.